Molecule: transfer RNA, 64 nt
Filed under: Eisenia nana
Lineage: Eukaryota; Metazoa; Annelida; Clitellata; Crassiclitellata; Lumbricidae
Description: tRNA-Thr
Source: RNAcentral
GAAUUGAAAGCUAACUUUAAGCAUUGGUCUUGUAAACCAAAGAUCGAGAAUAUCUCUCAAUUCU